CACAAUUAACUGUUCCUUUCUCCAAAUUCUUUAGUAUUCAUCAACGUCUUCCGAUAACAGACUGAGAAGUGUCUGUCUUGUGUAUCUACCGCAGACACUAGUAUGUUGCACAGAGUAGUUGUGGGAAAUAAAGGAUCUUUCUAGUCGGGGUCUCUUCUCGCCCUCUGCAGUGCUCAGGGAUUCUGUCACUCUCCUCUCUCCAGGUCGGCUACCAUGCACUGCACCUGGUGUGCUCCUUCCAGGGGAACGGGACAGAAAGCUUCGAUCUCUCCUUCCUUGCUAGCUCCCCCGAUAGACUCUUUGUUGUCAAGGCUGUCUGCUAAUCGUUCCAAGAGAAACAGAUAGAAGGACCCAAUCCAGGAUCCACAUUCAUUUCUCCUUAUUCAUCUCCAAUCUGGGAAAUACUCGGACUCUUUGAAGAAUUGUACCGGCCAGGUUUACUUAUUUAUUUUGAGAGCGAGAGAAAUUGUGAAUGGAGGAGGGGCCGAGAGAGGGAGAGAGAGAGAGAGAGAGAGAAUCCCAAGCAGACUCUGCACUGUCAGCACAGAGCCAGAUGCGGGGCUCGAACCCACCAACCAUGAGAACGUGAUUGAGCCAAUGUCUGGAGCUUAACCAACUGAGCCAUCCAGACACCCCUGCAGCAACCUUAUGACCAUGAAGGACAGAUAAAGGCAUUGCUCUUUACGUCUUUAGACUGAAGAAGCAAAACCAAUAACCAUUGACUUUUGAACAUCUUGCUGUGUAGGAAUACAAAUCCAUGUUGGUGGAAGCCAUUGUAGCCGGAUUCCUCCUACCUUUGUGGCUAAAAUAUUCCUGACUCACACUCCAAUAGACCAGAGAAGCAAAAAUUGCUCUUUGAUCUAUUCAGGAAAGCUUCAUCGAGAAGGGAGAUUGCAAGAUCAUUUUUAUACCAGGAGAAAUGAAUGGAGAUACCUGCAUUAGAAGAAAUGGAAACUCCCACAAUUCAGUGCUGCUUUGGAUGCUGUUUGCUGGUGGGGAUAAGAGAAGCAAAAUCAAGGCAGCUCAUUUCUAGGCUAUGCCAAUGGACAGGGUGUGGGAAGGCCAGACACGAGUACGGUGACAAACACGUACUCGUAGGGCUUUGACAGCUGGAAAUAUGAAGGCCCAGUUCAUAAUGCGACUGGGAAACAUGGGAAUUAGGUGAAGAUAAGGCAGUAAGCAGGUCAGAAACAGAGGUACCGUAACGAUAAAAGGAAAACACUUCAGAAGCCACUGGAGACGUCAUGAAAUUUGAGGGCAUUUAGGGCAGAGCGGAAAGCUUAGUGCACAUGGGUUCAGAAAGUUGGAAUUCAGAGGUGCCUGGGUGGCUAAGUUGGUUGAGUGUCUGACUCUUGAUCUUAGCCCAGGUCAUGAUCUCAGUCUGUCAGUUCCAGUCCUGUCUUGGGCUCCACACUAGCAGCACAGAGCCUGCUGGGGAUUCUCUCUCCCUCUUUCUUUGCUCCUCCCUCCCUCCCUCUCUCUCUCUCAAAAAUAAAUACGGAAGCUUAAAGAAAGAGGUUGCAACUCAAACCUCGUUUCGCCUACAUACCAGUUGAAUAAAGUGGCCAAUUCAUGCUCUUUCGGAAUCUGUUUCCUCCCUCUCUGAUAAUAAAAAAAAUCGUAUUUCCUUUUGCGAGGUAGACACCUCAAGAGAGGUAUGAGAUGAUUACUCAGAUGGAGGACCAAGUUGUAGCCCAACUGCAGGGUGAUUUUGUGCAUGUCGUCCAUAAACGUGGAAGAGAGUUCUUUAAGCUGUAUUUUCCCUUUCACUGAGUCUCAACAAGAAGGGAUGAUUUCUAAUACAAGGUGCAUCUCCUUUCUCAGGGUUUUUCGUGUGCCGAGGUUUCGAUGGUGUUGAAGUAAAACCUCUGACUUUCUGCUCUCUUUCAGAAGCAAUGCCAGCAAAGUCCCUUUCACAUAAUCUUAGCAGGUUAGACCCCUAAUAGUUUUCAAGCCAAUAGUAGUUGAUGAAUGUUACCUUUUGGUCUUUUCACCUUUUUUAAUUGGGGAACCUUGUGUAACACUCUAUUUUUGGUUCUAGCACCUUCACUAGUAGGGGUUACAACUCAAAGCCAAACUCAUUCAGCCAACAGCCCUAAAAAUACUCUUGGUUUCUGCCAGUCAAUUUUCUUCUAUUUUCACAAUUAGUGGUUCUGCCUGGAAACUGCCUGCCAACAUGCAAAUCUCUUCCAAGGACUGAUGGAAAUCUGAGAAUGUGCUAAGCUGUGUAAGGUUUAAGAGCAACAUUAUUCAUUCACUAUUUGAAAUAUUUAAACACAUGUAAAUCAAAAAAAAAAAAAGGAUGAAAUCUCAUUAUAAGAAAUGAAUGGCUGCUUUCCACUCUUUCUACAAUAUAGUCUUGAUAUCCAUUUACAUGCCGUUUGUAAUAUUAAUAUUAUCGUAGUGAAAUAAAUCACAUCCUUCA
Molecule: long non-coding RNA, 2425 nt
Organism: Acinonyx jubatus (cheetah)
Lineage: Eukaryota; Metazoa; Chordata; Mammalia; Carnivora; Felidae
Exons: 3
Source: RefSeq, a predicted model, not a curated record